GCGCCUGUAGCUCAGCUGGAUAGAGCAACGGACUUCUAAUCCGUAGGUCAGUGGUUCGAAUCCACUCAGGCGUGCCA
This 77-nucleotide transfer RNA is filed under the name Anoxybacter fermentans. Its description in RNAcentral is "tRNA-Arg". It matches the Rfam family "tRNA". Rfam says of the family: Transfer RNA (tRNA) molecules are approximately 80 nucleotides in length. Lineage: Bacteria; Bacillati; Bacillota; Clostridia; Halanaerobiales. The record is from RNAcentral.